This is a long non-coding RNA of Cataglyphis hispanica, 475 nucleotides long. RefSeq lists it as uncharacterized. Lineage: Eukaryota; Metazoa; Arthropoda; Insecta; Hymenoptera; Formicidae. The record is from RefSeq and is a predicted model, not a curated record. The transcript is spliced from 3 exons.
GAUUGCAUGAAGCAAGAAUGUUGAUGAAUUAAUUGGUACCUUUUGCAGUAAGCAAAUCCAGAAAAGUAUCUAAUGGUGAUAAACGAUCUGCAGAAGGAAAUGCUGCCAAACCUAGAACAAUUUACAGCUCGACUCUGGGAUACUUCACCGCACAAAAUAUUAGCGGCAUGUUCUCUGGCUCGCAGCAUCAAGCUAACUGGAUGCAGCCAUUGAUUCAAGAGUCUUUUUGCACGAGAUCUCGGCAAGAAAGACAACAACUUCAACUUCUGUACGACAUUUUCUUUUGUAUCGCUUAUAUCUAAACAAAAAAUCAUCAGUUUACAGCAAAAUGUCUGUGAGAUACAUACCGGCUAGAAUAAUCUUGGUAACGUCAACUUGGAGUUCAAACACUGAACGUUCGACAUAUUGCAGAAACAUCGAGUAUUUAAGAGUGCGGUAACCGAGAUAAGUAAAAAACGAUGCGAAUCCCUGUGGC